Molecule: ribosomal RNA, 164 nt
Filed under: Limosilactobacillus fermentum
Lineage: Bacteria; Bacillati; Bacillota; Bacilli; Lactobacillales; Lactobacillaceae
Description: Lactobacillus fermentum partial 16S ribosomal RNA
Source: RNAcentral
AAUCCGCAUCUGGCAGGUUACCUACGUGUUACUCACCCGUCCGCCACUCGUUGGCGACCAAAAUCUAUCAGGUGCAAGCACCAUCAAUCAAUUGGGCCAACGCGUUCGACUUGCAUGUAUUAGGCACACCGCCGGCGUUCAUCCUGAGCCAUGUAUCAAACUCU